RNAcentral lists this unclassified non-coding RNA (2388 nucleotides) under Leishmania donovani. RNAcentral describes it as "gene:LdHU3.36.5560(CDS-product:hypothetical_prote in_conserved)". The record is from RNAcentral. Lineage: Eukaryota; Euglenozoa; Kinetoplastea; Trypanosomatida; Trypanosomatidae.
AGGGCCUCUUUCUUUCGCUUUUCCUUCUCUUGCCUGCCCACCUCUCUCGAAUCCGAGGAGUGAAUCCAACCUUAGUGCUCUGGUAAACCUGCGCACCAUGCCUGCAACCACGGCACGCGCUAAGAGACCUUCAGCGGGGACUAAGAAGCCGUCCACAGCUGAUAGCGCUUUUCCAAAGAUACGCGGCCGCCAUGCGGCCGCCGCAACGGCGCCUCUCUCUUUUGCACCACGUGCGAGCAACGCCGCACAGGCGUCUCUUACGCGAGCGUCGGUACCUCUCAUUCUCGUGCCGGGCUCGGGUGCCGAUACCGUUAGCGCUGCGGCAUCGCAGCUGCGGAACGCGUCAGGCUCGGUUGCCAGUAGCGGCGGCGCGGCGAGCGCAAAGAAGACCUCCGUUGCUGCUCCACGGCCUCCCUUGUCGAAGCCUGCCCGCGGCGGCGGCCACGGUGGCCGCGGAGGAGGCAAGGGCGGCGCCGCCGGUGGUAGCUCGAAGCGUGGUGGCGCAUCGCGCGGCACUUCUGUCACCUCGCGAGGAACACGGUCUACGUCCAAGACACGUCGCUCCACGACGUCGCGUGGCCGAGGUCGAGGUCGCGGCAAGCGCCGCGGAAACAGUGGGCGGCAGCGGCAUCAGCUACAGGUUAUCGCCGCCAGCAUGGAAGCUCUGAAGGAGCAGGAGCAGGCGCUGCGACACAGCGUAGAGGUGGAGGAGGAACUCGAGCUUGAAAGCUAUCGCCCCAUCUACAAUGUGCUGCUGAUGGAGAUGGUGCGGGGCCAGGUGGAGCAGGUGAACCGCCGCCAGCGAAGGCUGAACGAAAUGCUAGAGGCUUUCAAGGAGGAGGGCCUGCUUGGCGGCGGCGGCAUCGGGCUGCACGACGAGCGACAGAUCGACGCCCUCGUGAAGCGGCUACGCGCGCGGCUGCAUACCGACGAAGCCUCGGAGCUGGAGACACUCAAAACAAACAACAGCAACCUCAAGCAUAGCCUCGAUGAAAUCAAACUGGCCAUGGAGAAGAAGAAUAGCGAGAUGGAGGUGCUGCGCGCCAACUACGCACGCAAGCUGGCUAGGACGGAUGUAGAGAACGACGCGGUGCGGGCGAAGGUGGAGGCCGCUCUGCACGCCUCUACCCUCGAUGUAGAGCGCAUGAAGCGGGAACUGAGCCACCGCAUCGACAUCGCGUGCGCCUCCAUCCGCACGCCGCGCUACAACACCUCGAUGGGGGCGCUGCGAGAUCUGGUGCAGCAGGCGCAGGAGGAGGUGCAGCGGCACCACGAUGAGCUGACAAGGCUGGUGGUGUCCAUUGGCGCAAAGGAUACCUUCCUCAAGCACGAGUCUGAGACGAUGCACUCGAAUCUGCCUUCAGCGUACCGAACCGAACUGCGAAAGAUGGAAAAGGACCAGCUGCUGAACCUGCUAGACGUGCUUAGCUUUCAAGAGGGUGUGGUUGAUACUAUCGGCAAGGCAAUCUACAUCAUUACAGAGGCGCAGCACAAGACGGCUGUUGUGUAGGAACAUCUAGUAUGACUGUGCCGUUCAAGCGCGAGCACCUGCGCCGUCUCCCCGAGUCUGUGUGUGGGUGCAGUGGUGAUGGCGGUUCCUUUGGUGUCCUCCACGCACUCUGUGAAGCGCUUCGUCGGUACUCCUUCACAUCUGGGGAGCUUCCUGCCGCCUUCAGGAUGCCUGCAAGAGCGAGAGACCUGUGUACGCGUGUUAGUGCGUGUUGGCCGGGAGAGCAGAAGGGAGCACCACCAUCAUUCAUGGUGACCGUGUGAUAUGCCCUCUUUUGUGGGUGUUUCCAUUCCGUCUCUGUGUCUGCAUUCUUUUUGUCCGAUGAGAUGUCUUGUGAGUUGCCACUUAACAAGCAUCUAGGCGGCCGCAAUGUGCUUUUUGGAAUCACCUUUUUUUUUCGCAUGUUGCUCUCGGCUUCGGUUUGUAUGUAUGUGUGGAGUGCGGAUCUUUCCCACGUAUUCUGCGUGCAGCGCCACUGCUAGACGCACGGGCACGCGUGAAGACAUAGGCACGAGGCACCGUAGAGAGGCGCAGCCUGGGGGAGGGGGAUCUUGCCCAACCCCUUCUCUCCCUCCCUCCACCGGCCCCCGUGCUCUUUUUUUUUCCUUUUCUCUUUGAACGCCUUUUCCGUUUCUUCGGGCUGCUUUUCUUUUUCUCAUGCCAUGUACACUAGCGCAGUGCCGAUGUGCGCUGAGACGGCUUUUCCUUCUUACGCUCUUGUUACCAAGCUUGUGUUCGUGCAGGGAAGAGCGUGCCUACCGAAGUUUUUCGCUCAGCCUCAGAGCGUGCACGAGAGACAGCCACGCACACACACUGGUGUCCUUCGCUGUGCCUGAGUGCCCACUGCAUCAUGUACGCCAUAUACAGAAAAAGCAAAG